This 509-nucleotide ribosomal RNA is filed under the name uncultured Hanseniaspora. Its description in RNAcentral is "eukaryotic LSU rRNA". It matches the Rfam family "Eukaryotic large subunit ribosomal RNA", at positions 64 to 572 of the family's 3401-position model. Lineage: Eukaryota; Fungi; Ascomycota; Saccharomycetes; Saccharomycodales; Saccharomycodaceae. The record is from RNAcentral.
ACCAACUGGGAUUACCUUAGUAACGGCGAGUGAAGCGGUAAAAGCUCAAAUUUGAAAUCUGGUACUUUCAGUGCCCGAGUUGUAAUUUGUAGAAUUUGUCUUUGAUUAGGUCCUUGUCUAUGUUCCUUGGAACAGGACGUCAUAGAGGGUGAGAAUCCCGUUUGGCGAGGAUACCUUUUCUCUGUAAGACUUUUUCGAAGAGUCGAGUUGUUUGGGAAUGCAGCUCAAAGUGGGUGGUAAAUUCCAUCUAAAGCUAAAUAUUGGCGAGAGACCGAUAGCGAACAAGUACAGUGAUGGAAAGAUGAAAAGAACUUUGAAAAGAGAGUGAAAAAGUACGUGAAAUUGUUGAAAGGGAAGGGCAUUUGAUCAGACAUGGUGUUUUUUAAAUGUGCAAGUCUCUCGUGGACAUGUGCCUCUGGAAAUUAACACUGGGCCAACAUCAGUUCUGGCGGCAGGAUAAAUCAUUAAGAAUGUAGCUACCUCGGUAUGUUAUAGCUUUUGGAAUACUG